Molecule: ribosomal RNA, 531 nt
Filed under: Mastigodryas dorsalis (striped lizard eater)
Lineage: Eukaryota; Metazoa; Chordata; Lepidosauria; Squamata; Colubridae
Description: partial 16S ribosomal RNA
Rfam family: Bacterial large subunit ribosomal RNA
Source: RNAcentral
AAAACAUAACCUUUAGCCAAACAAAUAUUAAAGGCAACGCCUGCCCAGUGAACAUUAAACGGCCGCGGUACCCUAACCGUGCAAAGGUAGCAUAAUCAUUUGUCUACUAAUUAUAGACCUGUAUGAAAGGCAAAAUGAGGGUCCAACUGUCUCUUAUAAUGAACCAAUUAAACUGAUCUUCUAGUAAAAAAGCUAGAAUUCUCCCAUAAGACCAGAAGACCCUGUGAAGCUUAAACUAAACCAUUAAACCCAAUAAUAACUACUUUCGGUUGGGGCGACCUUGGAAAAAAAAAGAACUUCCAAAUACACGACUUUUACCUCGAAAUAAACCCAGGCCCACAAGCCACUAAAUAUCGACCCAGCAAAGCUGAUAAACGAACCAAGUUACUCCAGGGAUAACAGCGCAAUCUUCUUCAAGAGCCCAUAUCAAAAAGAAGGUUUACGACCUCGAUGUUGGAUCAGGACAUCCUAAUGGCGCAGCCACUAUUAAGGGUUCGUUUGUUCAACGAUCAAUAGUCCUACGUGAUCUGA